GUUCGUCUUCAGGGGCAGGGUGAAAUUCCCGACCGGUGGUUAUAGUCCACGAACUACUUUUUUAAGUAGUCGAAUUGGUGAAAUUCCAGUACCGACAGUACAGUCUGGAUAAAGAAGAUAGGG
This 123-nucleotide non-coding RNA is filed under the name Enterococcus termitis. RNAcentral's name for it is "FMN sequence". It matches the Rfam family "FMN riboswitch aptamer (RFN element)". Rfam says of the family: The RFN element is a highly conserved domain that is found frequently in the 5'-untranslated regions of prokaryotic mRNAs that encode for flavin mononucleotide (FMN) biosynthesis and transport proteins. This element is a metabolite-dependent riboswitch that directly binds FMN in the absence of proteins. The record is from RNAcentral. Lineage: Bacteria; Bacillati; Bacillota; Bacilli; Lactobacillales; Enterococcaceae.